Molecule: long non-coding RNA, 1205 nt
Filed under: Gallus gallus (chicken)
Lineage: Eukaryota; Metazoa; Chordata; Aves; Galliformes; Phasianidae
Description: lncRNA (ENSGALG00010028996.1)
Source: RNAcentral
GCACUUCCCAAAGCUCUGAGGAGGGGGACACCACCCACGAGUGGGCUGGGGGGUGGCGUGGGGCACUCACCAGCACCUCCCACACCCUGAGGUGAAUAUUCUGGUGGGGAACGACCUCAAAGAGCAGAGUGGGAGGCGAAUCGGCCCUUUUCCAGUCUUUUUCCCCUAAGAAGUAGAAAAGGACCGGGAAUGCUUCCCCCUAACGGCAGCACGAGGUGUGCGGAGUGGGAAACGCUGCUCCGGAUCCCGGCGCUGGAACGCAGCGGUGCGCUUGCGGUGCCCCUCGGGGGUACAACCCCGUGCAAAGGCCCGCAGCUGCACUGCACGGAUGGCAUUGCUGCUCUUCCCAUGGACGCUGCUCAGGCGCAGAGAUCUCCACGUCACCCCUUGGUUCAAUGUAUCUCGAGAAUGAAAUCAAAUCCUGCUCUUCUUUAUGCUCUGCUGUCCUCUGUUCCUAAGGAACCUGCAGCCCAGACAACAGCCAAGGGAAGCGAUUCUGCUCCAUCCCUCGCCAAUAACUCACUGAAUGACCUCAAGCCAAUCCAUCUUCCUCCUGUGCUACAUCCCGACCUGGUGACCAAAAGGACCUUCUCUGUGCUCACACAGCCCUUGACAGGAACCCCAGGUGGGACCUCAUCACAGCAAGGAAGACCCAGAGCAAAUCCUAAACCAGACCUUGGGCUCCAAAGAGCACUGAAAAUGCAGCGCUCCUCCCCAGGGGUGCUCUCCAGCUGCUAACAGUUGUUUUAACUCCACACUGGGAAGUCCUUGGAGCCAUCAGAAGGGUCACAGCAGCAGAGCCCAGGGAGGGAGAUGCACACAGUGCUCAGCCCUGGUGGGGAAUAAGGGUUAUCCAGGUAGCUAAAGAAAUGAGAAGUUCCUUCCUCGUGUGCCAGCAGCCCUUGGGUUUGCCUUCUGCUCAGGGCAAGAACUUCAAGGUCUUCUCAGCAAGCACCACCACCACUAGUAGCAGCAGUGUGCCGGCCCCCAGCAGACCGCACACGGCUGAUUUCCAUGCUCACAGCGCCCCAAAGGUAGCACCAAAUCCAUUCCAUUUCUUACAGCACCCAACCGGGGCCCUACGCGCAGCUUCCUUCCCAGGCUGCCACUGGGAGCGAUGGCCAAGCUCCGGCUGGAGGCGGGCUCCCACUCACCCCUGCACACACCGGCUGGGACGUGGUCAGAAAGUUUUGCAACAAACCCCC